AAGCCACCUGCCAACUCUGCAUCCUGCCUCCAACAAGCUGGAGGAACUUAGCUCUACAGAAGCCGUGUUUCUGGGAGAAGGCUGGGCCCAGCUUCCUACAUGGGUGUUUGGUGAGUGUGAGGGUCUGCUCAGAGACGGGAGGUGGGGUAGAGGAAGGAGUGGAGGUGGAGCCAGGCUCCUAAGUGUGGCUCUAGCAGGCACGAAUGUGAGACUUGGCAAAGGAUCACCCUGAAGCUGUCAGCUGACAUCCGGCCAGGGACACUGAUUGUGGCCAAGGACAGGGCUGAACGAGCAACAUGAGUUCAUUAUGGGCUUCUCGCUGUUACUCGGGGUGGCUGUGUCAGCCCAUCUUGCAGCUGAGGCCAAGAGGCAGAGGGAGGAGCAGCUCUCGCUGGGGCAGAGUUGAGAAACAGGCACGGAGCAGCAGCCCAGAGCUCAGUGCUACAGAACUGGCAGUGACCACGGGUGUGCUCCUCCUCCUGGGAAGCCCUGGGCAGGAGUGGGGGAGACCCAGCCUCCGAGAGGCCGAGACUGGGGGGUCCAGGGCCUGGAACAGGAACCAGAGACUGGACACCAAGCUGGCAGGAACCGGGGAGCUGGACUUGGUCCCUGUCAGCCCCUGGCCUCCCUCGGCUUCCCCUGACUGUCUAGUGACCUUCUCUGUGCUGGGAGGACAGAGGGAGAUUCAGAGCUGGCCCAGGAGACCGGCUGGUGUCGCGUGGCAUUGAGAGGGAGCGGAACAAGCUGCCCUCCCUCUCCGGAAAAUGACCCUGCUGAUCCUGGAGUUAAAAAUAGAGGCGUAUUGAUCGGGGACCAUGCCUAGCACCAGUUAUCAGAGCUUUAUUGGCAAAAGGACCAAACUGAGUCAGCCCCUCAGGGUGAAGGACCGAGGCUGAGAGACCUGAUAAGGGUGCCACAGCCCGAGAGGACCCCGUGGAUGGCACAGAGGGGUACAGGACACAGGACAACUUCCACCUUUCUUCCUAGACUGAAGGAAUGGUGCCCUCAAAUCCAGAAGGUGCCUGGGAGCCAGGCUGUGGUGGGCUCAGAGGCCAGAACGUCCUCUGCAUAUCCCCCACGUGCGGCCCUGCGGAUGGACAUAGGCCUGAACCUUUCUCCUCUUUGGGGUUCUGGGCAGAAGGAGGAAGAAUACAAGGGGUCCUCUGGGGGGGGCACAUCCAGGUGGCACUGGGGACCCCGAGGGGACAGCAGAGGCUCAGAAACCUCUGUUGCCCCAGCCGUCGCCCAGUCCUGUCCCUUUCUGCAGGUGUUUCCCUCGCACGGCGCUCCUAUGUCCCCUGUCCCUCUUCUCUCUCCGUCCUCCCACUUGAUCUCCUUUCCCUCUUUCUUCCUCUCUUCCUUCUCUCUCUCUCCCUCCCUUUGUGUUUUUCCCACACCCCUGUCUCUGUCCCACUGCCCCCUGCUUCCUGUCACCCCUCCCGUUCUCCUGGCCACUGCCUCAGUCCCUGUCACCUUCCUGUUGUUAGUCUCUUGCUCUUUCUGUGUCCCACAGACCUCCAGGACCCUGCUCUCCCUCCUGUCCCCACGCCCCUCUCUCCACAGGCACAGGGAUGGCCAGAGAGCUUCCUGGACAGUGGCUGCCUCGGGCUCAAAAGCUUUCCUGUGCCUGGAAUUUGCUCCGUUUCAUUUCGGGUGCACGAGGCUGUCCCGGGAAGCACAGGGAGGAGAUGCUUUCUGAGCCAGGACUCAACUUUGAAUUCUAAAACCUUACAACUGGAAGAGACCCUGAAGAUCUGUCCCACCAGCCAGCACCUGUAUCAAGUGUCCUGCCGUGCCGACCCCACCCCAGCCCUGAACACUGCCCGUGCUGAUGUCGGAACACCACCCUGGGACUCCUGGGCACUACCCUUUGUACAUACGCGUCUCUGGACCACUACCUGUGGGACAGCGCUUUCACCUGGUCUGUUCUCAGUGCCGUACAGAGUAGGCACAGGAUAA
This 1959-nucleotide long non-coding RNA is filed under the name Fukomys damarensis (Damara mole-rat). Its description in RNAcentral is "lncRNA (ENSFDAG00000029746.1)". Lineage: Eukaryota; Metazoa; Chordata; Mammalia; Rodentia; Bathyergidae. The record is from RNAcentral.